AAAAGCGGAGGAAAAGAAACUAACAAGGAUUCCCCUAGGUACUGCGAGUGAAGCGGGAAAAGCUCAAAUUUAAAAUCUGGUGGUCUUUGGCCAUCCGAGUUGUAAUUUAGAGAAGCGUCUUCCGCGCUGGACCGUGCACAAGUCUCCUGGAAUGGAGCGUCAUAGAGGGUGAGAAUCCCGUCUUUGGCAUGGAUCCCAGGGCUUCUGUGAUGCGCUCUCGACGAGUCGAGUUGUUUGGGAAUGCAGCUCAAAAUGGGUGGUGAACUCCAUCUAAAGCUAAAUAUUGGCGAGAGACCGAUAGCGAACAAGUACCGUGAGGGAAAGAUGAAAAGCACUUUGGAAAGAGAGUGAAACAGUACGUGAAAUUGUUGAAAGGGAAACGCUUGAAGUCAGUCGCGUUGACCGAGACUCAACCUUGCUUUGGCUUGGUGUAUUUCUCGGCUGACGGGUCAGCAUCAAUUUUGACCCUCAGAUAAUGGCAAGGGAAAGGUGGCACCUUUUAGGUGUGUUAUAGUCCCAUGUCGCAUGUGAGGGUUGGGAUUGAGGAACUCAGCAUGCACCUCUGGGUGUCGGGGCUUUGGCCCACGUUACAUGCUU
RNAcentral lists this ribosomal RNA (597 nucleotides) under Russula puiggarii. Its description in RNAcentral is "eukaryotic LSU rRNA". It matches the Rfam family "Eukaryotic large subunit ribosomal RNA", at positions 46 to 614 of the family's 3401-position model. The record is from RNAcentral. Lineage: Eukaryota; Fungi; Basidiomycota; Agaricomycetes; Russulales; Russulaceae.